AGAAAAUAACCGAAUCUCAUAAAUCAGGCAUUAAACAAAGCAAUUAAAAUGCAAAAAUAAAUUUUCACCAUUAUUGGGUUAUGGAGGAAAAAAUAAAUAAGAAAAAGAACACCGAAAUAUUUUUCAACCACCAUCGACUUCGGUCAUCUUUUUCCUUUAUGGUGGUCUCCAAGUUUUUGUCAUGGACUCAUGGUCAUCAGCC
Molecule: long non-coding RNA, 202 nt
Filed under: Nicotiana benthamiana
Lineage: Eukaryota; Viridiplantae; Streptophyta; Magnoliopsida; Solanales; Solanaceae
Description: long non-coding RNA (NBEN_LNC002871)
Source: RNAcentral